Long non-coding RNA from Oncorhynchus keta (chum salmon), 702 nucleotides. RefSeq lists it as uncharacterized. The record is from RefSeq and is a predicted model, not a curated record. NCBI's taxonomy places the organism in Eukaryota, Metazoa, Chordata, Actinopteri, Salmoniformes, Salmonidae. The transcript is spliced from 4 exons.
UUGGUUUUCUAUUGGUUUUCUCUAUUGGUUUUCUAUUGGUUUUCUCUAUUGGUUUUCUCUAUUGGUUUUCUAUUGGUUUUCUAUUGGUUUUCUCUAUUGGUUUUCUAUUGGUUUUCUCUAUUGGUUUUCUCUAUUGGUUUUCUAUUGGUUUUCUCUAUUGGUUUUCUCUAUUGUUUUUCUAUUGGUUUUCUCUAUUGGUUUUCUAUUGGUUUUCUCUAUUGGUUUUCUCUAUUGGUUUUCUUUAUUGGUUUUCUCUAUUGGUUUUCUAUUGGUUUUCUCUAUUGGUUUUCUAUUGGUUUUCUCUAUUGGUUUUCUCUAUUGGUUUUCUAUUGGUUUUCUCUAUUGGUUUUCUCUAUUGGUUUUCUAUUGGUUUUCUCUAUUGGUUUUCUAUUGGUUUUCUCUAUUGGUUUUCUAUUGGUUUUCUCUAUUGGUUUUCUAUUGGUUUUCUCUAUUGGUUUUCUAUUGGUUUUCUCUAUUGGUUUUCUAUUGGUUUUCUCUAUUGGUUUUCUCUAUUGGUUUUCUCUAUUGGUUUUCUCACCAAGCUUAUUAUUUUCAAUACGCUCACACACACUCAAAAUACACACUCGCACUCAAAUACACAUUACAACAAAAGUGCUUUAAAUUAGGACCAUAUUGAAAGCAACAUACAUGUUUACUGAUAAUAUUCCAAAAUGAUAACCAAGAUUAUAUUGUAGCAGUGUA